RNAcentral lists this unclassified non-coding RNA (334 nucleotides) under soil metagenome. RNAcentral's name for it is "partial contains 5.8S ribosomal RNA, internal transcribed spacer 2, and large subunit ribosomal RNA". The stretch from base 1 to 120 matches the Rfam family "5.8S ribosomal RNA", at positions 35 to 154 of the family's 154-position model. The record is from RNAcentral.
GAUGAAGAACGUAGCGAAAUGAGAUACGUAAUGUGAAUUGCAGAAUUCAGUGAAUCAUCGAAUCUUUGAACGCACAUUGCGCCUGCCAGCACGCUGGCAGGCAUGCCUGUUCGAGCGUCAUUUCAACCAUCAAGCCCUAGGCUUGCGUUGGAGCCCUGCGGCUGCCGCAGGCCCCUAAAAGCAGUGGCGGGCUCGCUAUCACACCGAGUGCAGUAGAUUACUCUUCGCUCAGGGCGUGUGGCGGGUUCCAGCCGUGAAACCCCCUACUUCUCAAGGUUGACCUCGGAUCAGGUAGGAAUACCCGCUGAACUUAAGCAUAUCAAUAAGCGGAGGA